This 286-nucleotide unclassified non-coding RNA is filed under the name Hevea brasiliensis (rubber tree). The record is from RNAcentral. Lineage: Eukaryota; Viridiplantae; Streptophyta; Magnoliopsida; Malpighiales; Euphorbiaceae.
GCUGAUGUGAGAGUUUGCAGAUGAGAUGAAAUUCAGAUUCCCUAGUUUCUUCCUUGAGGAAAAGGAAGCUCUAAGGAAAAGGGUGAUGUUGUGAAUAAAUGGUGACGUAGAAGAGGGAGCAGAUGCAUCAUCGUCAUAAACCUAGAGAGAAGCAAAUGCAGGAGUGACAGGUGUAUAGGGAAUAUUCAUUCUGUUAUGAAGAGUAGUGUAGGUGGCCAUUAUAGCUGAUAUGUAAUUAUCGUUAGUUAGUUAUGGAAUUCUCUUUCUUAGUUGGCUUAUUGUACAA